GGUAAAGGCGUUUUGGCAAUUGAACAUACAGUACAUAAAUGUUACCUUAGGUUUGCAUACUUUUAUUUCUUCCAAUCCCUAAUUUCAAUUCCAAGCUCCUUCAAUUUGCCUCUUUCUCAGAAUCUGUUGCACUUGUAUAAGUUGUAUAUUAUCAUCAAAUUGGUUGAUUUUAAAUUGGGAUUGGAAAAUGGAAUUGCAAGGGGAUGCUUUGAUAGAGAUCCUGGCUCGAUUACCAAUGAAGUCGUUGAUCCGAUUCACUAUUGUAUAAUUUACUGGGUCGUCAUGGUGCGGGGAAGAAUGUAGAGCUUCUUAGU
This is a long non-coding RNA of Chenopodium quinoa (quinoa), 314 nucleotides long. RefSeq lists it as uncharacterized. NCBI's taxonomy places the organism in Eukaryota, Viridiplantae, Streptophyta, Magnoliopsida, Caryophyllales, Amaranthaceae. The record is from RefSeq and is a predicted model, not a curated record. The transcript is spliced from 3 exons.